RNA transcript from Megalobrama amblycephala (Wuchang bream), 4586 nucleotides. It is a transcript of the gene named B-cell receptor CD22-like, with no coding region annotated. The record is from RefSeq and is a predicted model, not a curated record. The transcript is spliced from 4 exons. Lineage: Eukaryota; Metazoa; Chordata; Actinopteri; Cypriniformes; Xenocyprididae.
ACUUCUGUUGGUGCUGCAGGUCUUCCGUUUUACAUUAAGACUGAAAAACUGAGAUUUGGAGGAAGUGAAGAUGUACAGAAGAAUGAGAAGCAUGGGAGACAGAAAUUGUGCAAAUGAGCAGUCAGGUGAUUCACAGGAUCUGAGGAUUGUGCUGCUGGGAGUCUCUGGAGCUGGAAAGAGUUCAACAGGAAAUGCAAUACUGGGUCAAGAUGUGUUUAAAGAGAGCAGAACCAGAGAGAGUGAGAUACAGAGAGGAAGAGUAAAAGACAGAAACAUCUCCAUCAUCGACACUCCAGGAUUCUUCAGCACUCACCUGACUGAUGAAGAGAUGAAGAAGCAGAUGAUGAAGAGCCUGUAUCUCUCUAAUCCUGGUCCUCAUGUGUUCCUGCUCAUCAUCAACCUGGAGACCUUCAAAGAGGAGGAGAGGGAUGUUGUGGAGCAAAUUCAGGAGAACUUUGGAGCUCAAGCUUUCAGGUUCACCCUAGUGCUGUUUACUGGAAGAGAACAAAUGUCUAACAGAGAAUGGAUCCUCUUUAUGGAUAGUGGAAAUUUUCAAGACAUAGUCAGUCACUGCAGAGGUAAUCAUCAUUCCAUCAACAGUAAAAGUGAGAUUAUUCCAACUCACAUCAAAAAGCUUCUGGAGAAGAUUGAUGAAAUCAUCAAACAGAAUGAUGGCCAGUAUUACAAAAAUGAGAUUUACUCAGUUUCUCGAACAAAGAGCGGAAAAGAAAAAAGAAAACAAGAGGAAAAAAAGGACAGAAAAAAAGAGCAAAAGAAUGAGAAGAGACAAGAGACAAUAAAAAUAGUACCUGAGACAUUUGAAAUGGACAGUGUAAUGGCAGAGAGAUCAGAAAAGAAAAGUCUUAUUUCUCGUGUGAGAGAAACAGAGAUAACUCAUGUAUGUGAAGAAAACAUUGAAGGAAAGGUGGUUCGUACAUCAUCAGUAAGAUCACUGGCAAUCUUAUUUGAAAGAAUGGAGGAAGAAAGUACAAUUCAGACACCAAAAGCUGGAAAAACAAGAACAUUAUGGGGCCAGAAUAAACAACAGAAAACAACAGAACAACAUUUGGCCAAAAGAGAUCUCAGGAUUGUGAUGGUUGGUAAAACUGGAGUUGGAAAAAGUGCAACAGGAAACACCAUCCUGGGACGAAAGGCAUUUAAAGAAGAACAAUCUGCUCAGUCUGCAACUGAGAAAUGCCAACAACAUCAGCAGAUGGUGGAGGGUCAAAUCAUCUCAGUGAUCGACACUCCAGGUCUGUUUGAUACGUCAAUCAGAGAAGAAAAACUGAAGAAGGAACUAGUGAAGUGUGUGGAGAUGUCUGUUCCUGGUCCUCAUGCGUUUCUGCUGCUCAUCAGACUGGAUGACAGAUUCACAGAUGAGGAGAAAAACGCAGUGAAAUUGAUUCAGGAGAACUUUGGAAAAGAUGCUGAACGUUACACCAUCCUCCUGUUCACUAGAGGAGAUCAGUUAAAAACAUCUAUAGAGGAGUUUCUGACAAAAAACAACCAGAUUAAUGAGCUAGUCCAACAGUGUAAAGGUGGUUAUCAUGUGUUCAAUAACACAGAUGAACAAAAUCAAUCACAGGCCAGUGAACUGAUCAAGAAGAUCAACAAAAUGGUGAAGGAGAACGGAGGAGGGCAUUACACAAAUGAGAUGUACAAGGAAGCUCAGAGAAAGUUAAUGAUGAAGAAGGCUAAGGAUGCAGCCAUAGUGGGAGUGGGUGUAGCAGGUGUAGGAGCAGCAGUAGCUGGAGGUACAGUACUUGGUGUUGCUACUGCUGGAGUGGCACUGCCUGUAGCUUUAAUGGCAGGAGGUGCAGCUCUAACAGGAGUAAUAACUGCAAAAGCUAUUGCAGAUAGAGUUAAAAAGUAAUAGGUUGAGCAGGAAAACAUGUUGAAAUCGAUUGUACUCAAAACUAUAAGUUGUUAAUACAAAGACAGACAACAGAUUGUUAGCACAACUCUAGGACUCUUUAUUGUUACUUAAAUAGAAAAUAAAAAGAUUGAUGUCCCUUUUCCCUUUUGUAAUUCUAAUUUUAACUGGUCAAAUGGAGAACAGAAGAACUUGUAGACUUUUGCUUUCCUGUCUCAAAUCUUCAGUAACAAAGGCCCUGUUUACACCUGGUAUUAAGAUGUGUUUUGGUCGAUUGGAUCACAAGCAGGGGACACACAUUCCCAUUCAUACCUGGUGUUUCUGUCCAUCUCUUUUGUCCAACUUCACCUUCUGAUUUCUUCAAGGGGAGUGGUUGUGGGUGUGUAAAUUUACGGGCUUUUUCCGAUCUUUUGAUCUAAUAGGCGUAACAAGCACAAUUUACAUAUGAGCACACCUAGAGACGCUGGGAAAACAAACAGAGAUCAUCAGCUUUCAUUUCUGCUCUGACAACCACAAGACCAGCUGAACGCAAUAAGUGCAUGCUAGAAAUCAAUAAUGUUUGGAGAACAUUGUGCUUAGCAUGUGUGUCAUCUUCAGAUCAAUUUUAUGGCUUCAGCCGGCAACGUUUAAAAUCCCAUCUGGCUAGCUCACUCCCCAUAAUGUUUAUUGUUUCAGUAAGCAGAGAGUCGGCAGUCUUUUGUGGCUGUUCGGACACAUUCGACCACAUGAGCAUUUCCACUACGAAAGCAAUCCGGUCAAAUGCAUUUUCAACUGGUUCUGGAAGUGGUCGAAAGUGGACAAGCUCUCAAAACCUUUUACACCCUGUUUACACCUGUAUUUAGCGUCGUCCACUUGUGACCUGAUCGACCAAAAUGCACCUUUAAUACAGUGAGGGAAGCUUUAAUUUGCUGAUUGGUCAGUUUGAAUGUCUCAAUUUUGGUUUUCAGUCACAUGGUCAAGGAAAUGAUAAAAUAAGAUUGUAACUGCUGUAUCUGUCUAUUUUUUUUUCGCUGGCACUGUCUUUUCUUCUCUGUUAACAUUCCACAUACAUGCUACGUACAAUUAACUGUAUAUGUUUUAUCAUCCUUCAUCUAUUUAACCAUUUCAAGUGUAACCAUAAUAAAAUACUGUUAUUAAACUGUGCUAACUAGAUUUGAUUCAACAUUAAUACUGAAUCGUUACCCAUUGUAUUACACAUAUAGCAAUGCUCUCAUGAGGCAAAUCAUUCAGCGUCCACAGCUCAUUAGUUUGCUGGAAAAAUGAACUCUUUCACUAAAUAUAUACACUAUCCCAGCUAACAGCAUUUUGUUAUAAGAACAAUCUCUAAAUACAUUCUCUAAAUAUAUUUUCUUGACGUUAGAGGAACGUUAUUAUAAGGUGAACAAGCACUGAAAGCAAGAGAGAGAGCAUUUGAUUGGUCAGAAAUCUGAUGAGAAGCUGAUUUGCAGAGAAACUGUAAGUUUUGAACACUUAUAUCUUCUAAAUGCGAAUUUAGUUUUGAGCUGAUGUGUCCCAAUUCAGAGUCUGCAUCCUUUAAAGGACUCAGACUUCAAAGGCCAUCUGGGGUUCUGCAAAAGAAUGAAAAGUAAAAUAAUAAAAAAAAAUAGCCUACAUAUUUUACAUAAUAUGCAUCUGAGUUCUGCUCAUUAGAAUGUAAAUUGAUCACCUACUAUAGCCUCUGCAGAAGGACCAUCAAUGCUGUACAGAAGAGCGUGUGAGUGAAUCACGUGACAUAAUAACCAAAGCUGUCCAGCAGGAGGCGACUGUGGGGGAAAACUAACCUUGUUCCUUAAAGAUGGGGAAAUAAUGGAGCUGGAAGUCACACAGUAUUACACUGUGAAAAUUAGUAACAGUUGCCAUUUUAACAUAUAUUUUAACAUCAACUUGUCAAACACAGUAGAGUAAAGAAUUACUAGAAAACCUGAUUAUUUAUUAGAAAAAAAAUAUAAGAAAAUACGAUUUCUUUCCAUAUAAAUAUUGCAUUUUGUCAUUUAGAAUGUUCUUCAUUUAGAAUGUUCUUGACUUCAAAAUUGUAUUUUUUGUGUAUGGUUUUUUUUUUUUGGACUAAUAAUCCUGUGCUCUAAACAUCUUGUGGAAAUGUAUUAAAUUAACUUUAAAAGAUCAUUAUUUUCCUUUAAGCAGUUUCAUCUCAGUGAUGAUGUUCUGUUAAGAGGGAAGGAGAGACAGAGACAUUUCUGCCACUGUGUGUUAAAAAAAAAACAGUGUUAACCACAGAAAGUCCUUCACUGUGAAGCUAAAGUGCUUGAGUUAAAACAGUCAGUCAUUUGGUUGCUGUUGAUCUGAUGAGCUUCAACACGGUAAGACAAACACAUUCAUACUUCAAUAAAAACUGAUGAUUAUUUCUAUAGAUGAAGCUCAUAUAACACAUGAUUCCUGACAUGAGAAAUAUCUUCUGAACAUCUAAUGAUCAGUUCAUUUACACACACUGAUGUUGAGCAUUAAUAAUCUUCAGAUGAGCAAAGAUCUUACUAACACUAAGAGCUGUUUAGAGUGAUGAACAGACACUGUUUAUGAGUAUAUGAGUGAUGAUUUAUGCUGUAUUAUAGAUAUAUUUGAUGCUGAUGUUGGUCAGAAUGGCUCCUGCUCUUCCUCUGAUCUUUCUGCUCAUGAUUCACAGGGUUUUUUGUGCUGGUUGGGGUGUGAGUUACAGUCUUUCACACAUCUGUGCACUAAAGGACUCGUCAGUGAUAAU